This 389-nucleotide unclassified non-coding RNA is filed under the name fungal sp. RNAcentral's name for it is "partial internal transcribed spacer region". The stretch from base 1 to 46 matches the Rfam family "Eukaryotic small subunit ribosomal RNA", at positions 1786 to 1831 of the family's 1831-position model. Lineage: Eukaryota; Fungi. The record is from RNAcentral.
AAGUCGUAACAAGGUUUCCGUAGGUGAACCUGCGGAAGGAUCAUUAACACGUAUCCAAACGUUAAAACAACCCUGUGAACCUUCAGCGUGUUCUUGCAGGACAUCAAAACAGCAAUCCCGAGUAAAUCAGGCGCUCAAGAAUUACAGAUUUUGGUUUUGGGAAGUUCUGUGUGUACGUGGACGCUGCAAUUGAGCGCUAGAUAAAGCUGUCAAGCGGCAGGAAAAAAAUGUUCAGGGUGGCGCAGUCAACGAUCGCUGUAGGUCCACACGACCGGCGACCGGGGUGGAGGCGAAAGCCCCUACGUCAUCCCUAUGUACCCUCCGGGACUUGGCGAAAGCUGACUCCGUCAUAAAUCGAACAACUGUUAACAAUGGAUAUCUUGGUUCUC